CACGCCGUAAACGAUGUCAACUAGCCGUUGGGAGCCUUGAGCUCUUAGUGGCGCAGCUAACGCAUUAAGUUGACCGCCUGGGGAGUACGGCCGCAAGGUUAAAACUCAAAUGAAUUGACGGGGGCCCGCACAAGCGGUGGAGCAUGUGGUUUAAUUCGAAGCAACGCGCAGAACCUUACCAACCCUUGACAUCGGGAUCGCGGAUUACAGAGAUGUUUUCCUUCAGUUCGGCUGGAUCCCAGACAGGUGC
RNAcentral lists this ribosomal RNA (250 nucleotides) under uncultured bacterium. RNAcentral's name for it is "partial 16S ribosomal RNA". It matches the Rfam family "Bacterial small subunit ribosomal RNA", at positions 796 to 1041 of the family's 1533-position model. The record is from RNAcentral.